CAGCCGCGGUAAUUCCAGCUCCAAUAGCGUAUACUAAAGUUGUUGCGGUUAAAAAGCUCGUAGUUGGAUCUUGGAAUGUGUUCAAGCGGGUCAGUUUCUGGCUGUGCGCUGCUUGACGUGUUCUUCUAUUUGGUUUUGGUGCGGUGCGCUUAACUGCGUGUCGCUCCCGGCCGAAACGUUUACCUUGAAAAAAUUAGAGUGUUCAAAGCAGACCUGUUUGAGUCUGAAUAUUCGUGCAUGGAAUAAUGAAAUAUGAAUUCGGUUCUAUUUUGUUGGUUUUCGGAACUCGAGUUAAUGAUCAAGAGGGACAGACGGGGGCAUUCGUACUCUGCCGUUAGAGGUGAAAUUCUUGGAUCGGCGGAAGACGCGCAACUGCGAAAGCAUUUGCCAAGAAUGUUUUCUUUAAUCAAGAACGAUAGUCGGAGGUUCGAAGACGAUCAGAUACCGUCCUAGUUUCGACUGUAAACUAUGCCAGCUAACGAUCAGACAGAGUUCUCUACGACUUGUCUGGCAGUUUCCGGGAAACCAAAGCGUUUGGGUUCCGGGGGAAGUAUGGUUGCAAAGCUGAAACUUAAAGGAAUUGACGGAAGGGCACCACCAGGAGUGGAGCCUGCGGCUUAAUUUGACUCAACACGGGGAAACUCACCCGGCCCGGACACAGUGAGGAUUGACAGAUUGAGAGUUCUUUCUUGAUUCUGUGGGUGGUGGUGCAUGGCCGUUCUUAGUUGGCGGAGCGAUUUGUCUGGUUAAUUCCGAUAACGAACGAGACUCUGGCAUGUUAAAUAGUCGCGGAAGUGCGUAUGCACUUGCCGAAUUGACUUCUUAGAGGGACUAGUGAUUUUAAUUCACACGAGAUUGAGCAAUAACAGGUCUGUGAUGCCAGGCGA
RNAcentral lists this ribosomal RNA (887 nucleotides) under uncultured eukaryote. Its description in RNAcentral is "SSU rRNA". It matches the Rfam family "Eukaryotic small subunit ribosomal RNA", at positions 571 to 1477 of the family's 1831-position model. The record is from RNAcentral.